RNAcentral lists this ribosomal RNA (253 nucleotides) under uncultured bacterium. RNAcentral describes it as "partial 16S ribosomal RNA". It matches the Rfam family "Bacterial small subunit ribosomal RNA", at positions 524 to 776 of the family's 1533-position model. The record is from RNAcentral.
UACGGGGGGGGCAAGCGUUGUUCGGAAUUACUGGGCGUAAAGCGUGCGCAGGCGGUUGUGUAAGACAGAUGUGAAAUCCCCGGGCUCAACCUGGGAACUGCAUUUGUGACUGCACAGCUGGAGUGCGGCAGAGGGGGAUGGAAUUCCUGGUGUAGCGGUGGAAUGCGUAGAUAUCAGGAAGAACACCGGUGGCGAAGGCGGCUCGCUGGGCCAGUUCUGACACUCAUACGCGAAAGCGUGGGGAGCAAACAGG